This 468-nucleotide ribosomal RNA is filed under the name uncultured bacterium. RNAcentral's name for it is "bacterial SSU rRNA". It matches the Rfam family "Bacterial small subunit ribosomal RNA", at positions 27 to 507 of the family's 1533-position model. The record is from RNAcentral.
GGACGAACGCUGGCGGCGCGCCUAACACAUGCAAGUCGAACGGAGCUUAGAGAGCUUGCUUUUUAAGCUUAGUGGCGAACGGGUGAGUAACGCGUGAGUAACCUGCCCUAGAGUGGGGGACAACAGUUGGAAACGACUGCUAAUACCGCAUAAGCCCACGGUACCGCAUGGUGCUGAGGGAAAAGGAUUUAUUCGCUUUAGGAUGGACUCGCGUCCAAUUAGCUAGUUGGUGAGGUAACGGGCCCACCAAGGCGACGAUUGGUAGCCGGACUGAGAGGUUGAACGGCCACAUUGGGACUGAGACACGGCCCAGACUCCUACGGGAGGCAGCAGUGGGGGAUAUUGCACAAUGGGGGAAACCCUGAUGCAGCGACGCCGCGUGGAGGAAGAAGGUUUUCGGAUUGUAAACUCCUGUCGUUAGGGACGAUAAUGACGGUACCUAACAAGAAAGCACCGGCUAACUACGUG